Molecule: ribosomal RNA, 329 nt
Filed under: uncultured eukaryote
Lineage: Eukaryota
Description: partial 18S ribosomal RNA
Rfam family: Eukaryotic small subunit ribosomal RNA
Source: RNAcentral
CCCUUAGAUGUUCUGGGCCGCACGCACGCUACACUGAUGCAUUCAACGAGUCUAAAACCUGCUCUGAUAGGGGUGGGUAAUCUUUUGAAUGUGCAUCGUGAUUGGGAUAGAUGAUUGCAAUUUUUCAUCUUCAACGAGGAAUGCCUAGUAAACGCAAGUCAUCAGCUUGCAUUGAUUACGUCCCUGCCCUUUGUACACACCGCCCGUCGCUCCUACCGAUUGAAUGAUCCGAUGAAUAUCAUGGAUUGAGGAUGCAAGUAGGUUCGCCUAUCUUCAUCUUCGAGAAGUGAAGUAAAUCUUAUCAUUUAGAGGAAGGAGAAGUCGUAACA